CAGUCGCCGCGGGAAUACGAAGGGUGCAAGCGUUAAUCGGAAUUACUGGGCGUAAAGCGUGCGCAGGCGGUUUGUUAAGACAGAUGUGAAAUCCCCGGGCUUAACCUGGGAACUGCGCUCGUGACUGCACAGCUAGAGUAUGGCAGAGGGGGGUGGAAUUCCACGUGUAGCAGUGAAGUGCGUAGAGAUGUGGAGGAACACCGAUGGCGAAGGCAGCCCCCUGGGCCAAUACUGACGCUCAUGCACGAAAGCGUGGGGAGCAAACAGGAUUAGAUACCCCUGUAGUCCCUGUCUCUUAUAC
RNAcentral lists this ribosomal RNA (301 nucleotides) under uncultured bacterium. RNAcentral describes it as "partial 16S ribosomal RNA". It matches the Rfam family "Bacterial small subunit ribosomal RNA", at positions 509 to 807 of the family's 1533-position model. The record is from RNAcentral.